GCAUAUCAAUAAGCGGAGGAAAAGAAACCAACAGGGAUUGCCCCAGUAACGGCGAGUGAAGCGGCAACAGCUCAAAUUUGAAAUCUGGCUUCGGCCCGAGUUGUAAUUUGCAGAGGAUGUUUAUGGUGCGGUACCUUCCGAGUUCCCUGGAACGGGACGCCACAGAGGGUGAGAGCCCCGUCUGGUUGGAUACCAAACCUGUGUUAAACUCCUUCAACGAGUCGAGUAGUUUGGGAAUGCUGCUCUAAAUGGGAGGUAAAUCUCUUCUAAAGCUAAAUAUUGGCCAGAGACCGAUAGCGCACAAGUAGAGUGAUCGAAAGAUGAAAAGCACCUUGAAAAGGGGGUUAAACAGUACGUGAAAUUGUUAAAAGGGAAGCGUUUAUGACCAGACUUGUGUCGUGUGGCUCAUCCGAGGUUCUCCCCGGUGCACUCCACACGGCUCAGGCCAACAUCGGUUUUCGUUGGGGGAGAAGAACAGCAGGAACGUGGCCCUCUUCGGAGGGUGUUAUAGCCUGCUGUACGAUACCCUGACGGGGACCGAGGACCGCGCUUCGGCUAGGAUGUUGGCGUAAUGGUCAUUAGCGACCCGUCUUGAAACACGGACCAAGGAGUCGUCCAUUAGAGCGAGCGUUUGGGUGUCAAACCCGCACGCGUAAUGAAAGUGAAAUUAGGUGAGAGCUUCGGCGCAUCAUCGACCGAUCCUGAAGUUUACGGAUGGAUUUGAGUAAGAGUUUUAACGGACGGACCCGAAAGACAGUGAACUAUGCUUGAAUAGGGUGAAGCCAGAGGAAACUCUGGUGGAGGCUCGCAGCGGUUCUGACGUGCAAAUCGAUCGUCAAAUUUGAGCAUGGGGGCGAAAGACUAAUCGAACUGUCUAGUAGCUGGUUACCGCCGAAG
RNAcentral lists this ribosomal RNA (897 nucleotides) under Gnomoniopsis comari. RNAcentral describes it as "LSU rRNA". It matches the Rfam family "Eukaryotic large subunit ribosomal RNA", at positions 38 to 966 of the family's 3401-position model. The record is from RNAcentral. Lineage: Eukaryota; Fungi; Ascomycota; Sordariomycetes; Diaporthales; Gnomoniaceae.